UGUUGUAAUUGUUUAAUCUUAGCAAUGUUCGAACGUUAUCUGGUAGUUUUACUCAUGCGAGUUGUAAAUUUUAUGAAUUUAUAGCGUGCAGGCGAGGAUUGCAAAGAAUAGAUACCUAGUUUAGAUUCAUUCUUUGUUUUGUAGGUAGUUGGUGUGGUAAUGGCACACCAAGCCAAUGACAAAUAGAAAUGAGCGAAAGCUUCAAUUUCCGCAAUUGGUUUUAAUAGACCGAUCGAUCAGUUGUCUGAUUGCUGCAGAGGAGAAUCUUGGGCAAUGCUCGAAAGAGUGACCCAGCUAACCAGAACUCGAAGUAAAAGUAGAGUGUUGUAAGGGAGGAUAAUGACGUUACCUUACUAUAAGUCCAAUCUAAGUCUCGUGCCAGCAGACGCGGUUAUACGAACUGGGCGAACGUUGAAUAAAUGAAUAGGUUUUAAGUAUCUGUAGGCGGUGAAGAAAUAUUCUUCACUAGAAUUCAAUAGAGGAAAAUAGAACGUUAGAAGUAGAGAUGAAAUUUGUUGAUAUCUAACGGAAUACUAAUGGCGAAGGCAAUUUUCCAGGUAAGAAUUGACGCUGAGAGAUGAAAGUUUGGGGAGCGAAACAGAUUAGCUACCUGAGUAGUCCAAACCGUAAACUAUUUACACUACUCCUUUGGUUAAGUAUAAUAUACUGAAAAUAAAAUCAGAGGGAAAGCGAAAGGCUGUAUGUGUAACACCUUGUUAGUAAUGCCGCAAGGUUGAAAGCAAAAAGAUUAGACCAUCCCUAAGAACCGGUGUGGAGCAUGUUGUUUAAUACGAAACCACGCGUAGAACCUUACCUCUCCUCGUAUGUCCAUGUAGUUUUAAACAAAGUGGAUACAGGCGUUGCAUGGCUGUCGUCAGUUCGUGUCGUAAGAUGUUAGGUUCAGUCCGCUAACGAACGCAAUCCAUGGUAGAAAUCAAUUCUUUCUACCGUCAAUUUGAUAAAAAUGACAAAAUGGAUUACGAUAAGUCGUCAUGACCCUUAUGGAGUAUGGGCUACAGACGUGCUACUAAAAUCUAACAAUAAGAGGCAAAGUCGAAAGACUGAGCAAAUCUAUAAAACAAGAUUUGAUAAGGAUUGUGGACUGAAAUUCGUCCAUAUGAAUCAGGAAUACCGAGUAAUCGUUUAUUAGUACGAAACGGUGAACAACACAUUAGGGAGAUACUAACUGUCUAUCACAUCUUGGUUUUAUCCGAGUACGGAACUUGGAAAGGAUUCUCCUGGAAAAGGACGUUUAGGGUAGAACUGAGGUGAAGUUAUAGCAAGGUAGCCGUAAGGGAACUUGCGGCUGAUUGAUAAAUAUC
This 1322-nucleotide ribosomal RNA is filed under the name Malassezia globosa. RNAcentral describes it as "SSU rRNA". It matches the Rfam family "Bacterial small subunit ribosomal RNA". Lineage: Eukaryota; Fungi; Basidiomycota; Malasseziomycetes; Malasseziales; Malasseziaceae. The record is from RNAcentral.